Molecule: ribosomal RNA, 693 nt
Filed under: uncultured bacterium
Lineage: Bacteria
Description: bacterial SSU rRNA
Rfam family: Bacterial small subunit ribosomal RNA
Source: RNAcentral
GAGUUUGAUCAUGGCUCAGGAUGAACGCUGGCGGCGUGCUUAACACAUGCAGGUCACGGGGGCUCGGGGCGCAAGCCUUGGGUAACCGGCGAACGGGUGCGUAACACGUGAGCAACCUACCGAAAUGAGGGGGAUAGCCGGCCCAACGGCCGGGUAAUACCGCAUACGCUCGAGGAGAGGCAUUUCAUCUCGAGGAAACCUCCGGGGCAUUUCGAGGGGCUCGCGGCCUAUCAGCUAGUUGGUGAGGUAACGGCUCACCAAGGCUACGACGGGUAGCUGGUCUGAGAGGAUGGCCAGCCACAUUGGGACUGAGAUACGGCCCAGACUCCUACGGGAGGCAGCAGUGGGGAAUCUUGCGCAAUGGCCUAACGGCUGACGCAGCGACGCCGCGUGAGGGAUGACGCUCUUCGGAGUGUAAACCUCUUUUGCCUGAGACGAAUUGUCAGCUUUAGCUGAUUUGACUGUAUCGGGUGAAUAAGCACCGGCUAACUCCGUGCCAGCAGCCGCGGUAAUACGGGGGGUGCGAGCGUUGUCCGGAAUCACUGGGCGUAAAGGGCGCGUAGGUGGCCUGAUAAGGGUGUGGUGAAAGUCCGGGGCUCAACCCCGGAUCGGCCGUGCCGACUGUCAGGCUGGAGUACCGUAGGGGCAGGCGGAAUUCCGGGUGUAGCGGUGGAAUGCGUAGAGAUCCGGAGG